RNAcentral lists this ribosomal RNA (492 nucleotides) under uncultured bacterium. Its description in RNAcentral is "partial 16S ribosomal RNA". It matches the Rfam family "Bacterial small subunit ribosomal RNA", at positions 29 to 507 of the family's 1533-position model. The record is from RNAcentral.
AGUGAACGCUGGCGGUAGGCCUAACACAUGCAAGUCGAACGGCAGCACAGUAAUAGCUUGCUCUUACGGGUGGCGAGUGGCGUACGGGUGAGGAAUACAUCUGACUCUACUUUUUCGUGGGGGAUAACGUAGGGAAACUUACGCUAAUACCUCAUACUACCUCCGGGUGAAAGCAUGGGAUCUUCCGACCUUGCGCGAUUGAAUGAGCCGAUGUCGGAUUAGCUAGUUGGCGGGGUAGAGGCCCACCAAGGCGGCGAUACGUAGCGGGUCUGAGAGGAUGAACAGGCAGACGGGAACUGAGAAAGGGUCCAGACACCGAGGGGAGGCAGCAGUGGGGAAUAUUGGACGAGGGGGGAAAGCCUGAUACAGCCAUACCGCGGGAGUGAAGAAGGAGUGCGGGUUGGAAAGCCAUUUUGUAGGGAGAGAAAAGCAGCAGGUUAAGAACCCGCGGUACUGACGGUACCCAAAGAAUAAGCACCGGCUAACUUCGUG